Molecule: ribosomal RNA, 346 nt
Filed under: uncultured eukaryote
Lineage: Eukaryota
Description: SSU rRNA
Rfam family: Eukaryotic small subunit ribosomal RNA
Source: RNAcentral
AUAGCGUAUAUUAAAGUUGUUGCAGUUAAAAAGCUCGUAGUUGGAUUUCGGGCGGGUGCUGCCGGUCCGCCCUUUGGGUGUGCACCGGUUGCGCCCGUCCUGCUGCCGGGGACGGGUGCCUGGGCUUCACUGUCCGGGUCCUGGAGUCGGUGAGGUUACUUUGAGUAAAUUAGAGUGUUCAAAGCAGGCCUACGCUCUGAAUACAUUAGCAUGGAAUAACACGAUAGGACUCUGGCCUAUCCCGUUGGUCUGUGGGACCGGAGUAAUGAUUAAGAGGGACAGUCGGGGGCAUUCGUAUUUCAUUGUCAGAGGUGAAAUUCUUGGAUUUAUGAAAGACGAACUUCUG